Molecule: long non-coding RNA, 125 nt
Organism: Bradysia coprophila
Lineage: Eukaryota; Metazoa; Arthropoda; Insecta; Diptera; Sciaridae
Source: RefSeq, a predicted model, not a curated record
AACAGUGUAUCAUACAGCUGUUAAACACUGUUAUAAACAAUUUCAUGCAAAAUAGUACUCGAUUUGACAGCUGUCGACUGUGAUCACCCUUUUGCUUGAAGUGCAUCAGUAAACGAAUUUUCAUA